This 705-nucleotide ribosomal RNA is filed under the name uncultured bacterium. RNAcentral describes it as "bacterial SSU rRNA". It matches the Rfam family "Bacterial small subunit ribosomal RNA", at positions 111 to 794 of the family's 1533-position model. The record is from RNAcentral.
UAACGCGUGGGUAACCUGCCCUUUUGUGGGGAACAACUUCGAGAAAUCGGAGCUAAUACCGCAUAAUAAUAGAGGAUCGCAUGAUUCUUUAAGGAAAGAUGGCCUCUGAAGAUGCUAUCGCAAAAGGAUGGACCCGCGUCUGAUUAGCUAGUUGGAAGGGUAACGGCCUACCAAGGCAACGAUCAGUAGCCGGCCUGAGAGGGUGAACGGCCACAUUGGGACUGAGACACGGCCCAAACUCCUACGGGAGGCAGCAGUGGGGAAUCUUCCGCAAUGGGCGAAAGCCUGACGGAGCAAUGCCGCGUGAGUGAAGAAGGCCUUCGGGUUGUAAAACUCUGUCCUUAUCGAAGAGAGGUAGGUAUGUGAAUAAUGUACCUAUAGGACGGUAGAUAAGGAGGAAGCCCCGGCUAACUACGUGCCAGCAGCCGCGGUAAUACGUAGGGGGCGAGCGUUGUCCGGAGUCACUGGGCGUAAAGGGCGCGUAGGCGGUUUAAUAAGUCAGUGGUGAAAACUGAGGGCUCAACCCUCAGCCUGCCACUGAUACUGUUAGACUUGAGUAUGGAAGAGGAGAAUGGAAUUCCUAGUGUAGCGGUGAAAUGCGUAGAUAUUAGGAGGAACACCAGUGGCGAAGGCGAUUCUCUGGGCCAAGACUGACGCUGAGGCGCGAAAGCGUGGGGAGCAAACAGGAUUAGAUACCCUGGUAGU